ACUGCUCAGUAACACGCGGAUAACCUGCCCAAGGGUCUGGGAUAACCCCGGGAAACUGGGGAUAAUACCGGAUGGAUCACUAGUGCUGGAAUGCUUGGUGGUCGAAAGGCAACGCCUUUGGAUGGGUCUGCGGCGGAUUAGGUUGACGCCGGUGUAACGUACCGGCGUGCCUGUAAUCCGUACGGGUUGUGGGAGCAAGAGCCCGGAGAUGGAUUCUGAGACACGAAUCCAGGCCCUACGGGGCGCAGCAGGCGCGAAAACUCUACAAUGCAGGCAACUGCGAUAGGGGGACAUCGAGUGGCAUCCACCUUGGGUGCCUGUCCAACCGUCUAAAAAACGGUUGUUAGCAAGGGCCGGGUAAGACCGGUGCCAGCUGCCGCGGUAAUACCGGCGGCUCGAGUGGUGGCCGAUAUUAUUGAGUCUAAAGGGUCCGUAGCCGGCUUUGCAAGUCCCCUGGGAAAUCCAGCGGCUUAACCGUUGGGCUUUCAUGGGAUACUACAUUGCUUGGGACUGGGAGAGGUAGGAGGUACUCGGGGGGUAGGGGUGAAAUCCUGUAAUCCUCCGGGGACCACCGGUGGCGAAGGCGUCCUACCAGAACAGGUCCGACGGUGAGGGACGAAAGCUAGGGGCACGAACCGGAUUAGAUACCCGGGUAGUCCUAGCCGUAAACGAUGCCCGCUAGGUGUCACGACGGUCGUGAAUCGUCGUGGUGCCGUAGGGAAGCCGCGAAGCGGGCCACUUGGGAAGUACGGCCGCAAGGCUGAAACUUAAAGGAAUUGGCGGGGGAGCAC
This 791-nucleotide ribosomal RNA is filed under the name uncultured archaeon. RNAcentral's name for it is "bacterial SSU rRNA". It matches the Rfam family "Archaeal small subunit ribosomal RNA", at positions 85 to 879 of the family's 1478-position model. The record is from RNAcentral.